GCCGAGAUAGCUCAGCUGGGAGAGCAACAGACUGAAGUGCAGAGACAGUCACUGCGUUCUGGAGGUCGGGUGUUCAAUCCACCCUCUUGGCA
Molecule: transfer RNA, 92 nt
Rfam family: tRNA
About the family: Transfer RNA (tRNA) molecules are approximately 80 nucleotides in length. Their secondary structure includes four short double-helical elements and three loops (D, anti-codon, and T loops).